CUGCCACGUCACAUUUUCAUUAUCAAUUAUCCAAGACCAAUACAUUAGUUUUAAAUUCCUCAGAAGAAGAAAAAAAAAAAAAAAACACAUUAGUUUUGCAUCAGAGCAUGUCGCAACAUCAAUUCAAUCAUCCCUUUUUGGUUUUCCAGAUACUACGCUAUUUCAAUAAAUUAUCAAAUUACAAUGUAAAAAUUAACAUUAAAAAUAUAUUUUAAGAAAAGAUCAUAACAAGAAGAAGAAGAAGAAGGCAGUGGUUGCUUUAUGUUAUCAACACAGAACGGAUAUUAGCAAAGAGAAAAGAAAACACAAUCUGCAGCAGAAUAGUAAUAAAGAAAGAACAUCCUUCUGCAUCAUUCAUCCUCAAACUUUUCCUCGUACCAACAAAAACCAUCAAGGCAACUCGCAUGUUGAUGAUAUACAAGGGCUGGACAAUUAAAUAUUGUCUUACAUGAAAAUUUACCUACAUUGUCAAACAAGAAGAUUUUUUUUUUACUAAAAUGUGAUGAAAUAUUGUAUCCAAGAUAAAUUAGAAAAAAAAUGUAAAUUGUGUCAAAAAUGUC
RNAcentral lists this long non-coding RNA (560 nucleotides) under Medicago truncatula (barrel medic). RNAcentral describes it as "lncRNA gene23323". The record is from RNAcentral. Lineage: Eukaryota; Viridiplantae; Streptophyta; Magnoliopsida; Fabales; Fabaceae.